CAUAUAUAUAUAUAUAUAUAUAUAUAUAUAUAUAUAUAUAUAUAUAUAUAUAUAUAUAUAUAUCACAAAAUAUAUUAUUUUUUUUCAUUAGAAUAUUGGUGAUAGAUUAGAUGCAAUCACGAAAAAGGUAUAUCAAUAAGUGAUGACUUUGUGUGUCACAAAAAGAAAGUUUUAUUUUGGGUUAAAAUUUUGGUAAUUGACAUGGCCAUCAUAAUUAUUAAUACAUUGAUGGAAAAAUUAAUUAUCAGCAAGAGUCAUCAUAUAUAUUAUUAUUUUGUGAUUGUUCAAAAAAUACAUCACAAAUUACUAUCUUUUGUGAUUAUUUUUAAAAACCGUCAUAAAGUUUCAUCAUGUAUUCUUAUUUUUUAAUAGUAUUAAUCAUCACGAAAGUAUUCCACGUUUGCGUGAUUGUCAAAAUCACUAUGAAAUGCUUUCAUGAUCAGUGGCGGAACCAGAACGAUUUUGUAGGGGAGUCAAAAUUUUUAAACCAAGCGAUCGGAACACCGCCGACUGACCCCCACAGCCCCCACCCCCUGUUCCGCCUGGACCGGCCUCCCUAUCGGAGUCAGAUGCGACGACCAGAGUACCGCUGACUGUCCUCCCACCGCCCAAGUCCCCCUGUUCCGCCUAGACCGCCGGCCUCCCUACCGGGGUCAACCGCCCCCGCCCGUCCGCCCCCUAGUUCCGCCCUUGUUCAUGAUGAGGGCGUACAAGACAGUCUCCGAUCCAUGAUAACUAAUGUCAUAACAAAAACCCUUCGUGAUGAAUUUUUGAAUCUAUGUGAUAAAUUUGAGCCAUCACAAAAAACUAUAUUUUUGUAGUGAUAUAAUAUUUGGCUAUAUGAGCAAGUUUAUUUAGAAGUGAAUGCUAAAUAUAUAUACACAUAAUUUUAGUUGAAAUAAUAAGUAAUCUGAUAAUUAAUAAGGUAGCGGUUUGAGAUAUAUAUGAUGAUAAUCAAGAAUAGGGCGGGGUAUUUCUUUGUAUCAUCACAAAGAUUCUUAGAUUUGCUUGUCAUGCACAGCCAUGGAGUUAUUCGUCGACUGUCACUACAUAUGGCCCCAUAUCAGACUUUCAUGUACCGGCUUGUAGAAAAAUUACCAACCUUUUAUAUAUUAAUGUGACCUUUCAAGUUUUUAUAAAAUUUCAUCCUAUAUAUAUACCCAAAAUAUAUUAAUUGUUUUAAUGUGAACCUUGAGUUUCCAUUAAAAUUUUCUAAUGAUGGUAGAUUUUGUCCCAGCCAAAUUGAUCAAAAGUACAUAAAUUAGAAUAAAUAACAAGUCAAAUUACCUUUUCUUUUUUCGAUCCUUUAUCUGAUUGGUCAGAAAAAUAAAUAAAAAGAAUUUCAUCAAACUUUAAUGGAAGACCAAGGCCAAUAUUGAAACAUUUGAAACGUUUGGGUUAAAAUUGAGAUUUUGUGAAAACUUGAACAGCGCAAAAUAAAUUAUGUUUUUAAUACUUAAUAAUAUCACUGUCACAUCUUAGACCAUUCCUAACCCAUCACAACCAGAUCGAAAAAAAUAAAUAAUAUCAAAAAGGUUAAAAAUUCAAGCACAAGGACUAUGGGUGAGAACUAAAGAAAGUCUAGAAGCUAGCAGCUAACAUUUGAACCAGCGUAAUAUAAACUUUAUAUAACAUUUUAAUUUAGAUUGUAUAUUUUAUGAGGUAAUUUUUUUGUAGUUGAGAUAACAUUUUUCCCCACCUUGACUAAUAUUUCUUACUGGUCACUUUAUAUUGUCAGAGAUUUUUUUUUUAUUAUUAAAGAAAUAUAUAUAAUGAAUUAAAACUAAUCAAAUUAUAACAUCGAUAAUAGAUAUUUACUGGGUGUCAAGAAAAUUUAAAUAAUUCAUUAUUAACUAUUAAAAAUUAUCGUGAUUAAAUGUUUAUAUAUUAAUUACUCCAUUUUUUUUUGUCUAUCUCUCUCUAUAAACACGCCCUUUCAUUCCUUGAUGUUGCUUCAUGUAAUUAGGAUUUGCCAUUUGGUCUUUAAACAGAGAGAGAGAGAUGGAGAGGGAGUAUAAAUGCAUUUAUAUACAUGAAACACAAACAAAAAAAAAAGAUUGAAGAAGCAUCCAUAUUUAAUGAUAUCAUGUGAUCAUGUCCAAGAUAAAGAGAGAAUAAGCUAUUAAGUGUACAUGAUUUCAUAAUUAAGGUUGUCACAGCCCACACAUAAAAGAAAGAGAUUACUCAAAUACAUCUCUCUGUUUCUUUUUUCACAAAUCAAAGCCAAAUUAAAGAAGUACUCAACAUAUAUAUAUAUAUAUAUAACAUGUAAUGAACUCGAUAUACUCCAUUUACAUGCUCUUUUUUUGAUAUUUAUGUAGACUCGACAGAUUUGGGAGAAAGGGCAGUUACGUUUCUUGCCGGCGGCAUGGACUUGGAUCUCUUAAACCAUGCAACUCCGUCCGACGACCGGUGAAACUUACACCGGAAAGAUCCUUGAUGUGUUGUUGGGGAGCACAAACACUGCCCUUUUGGUGAACUUACAGGUGCUGAUGAUGACCCCCCACCUUCUUUAGGAGAUGAAGAUGUUGUAACAUUGAUUUUACCAUGUUUAGGAGAUGAAGAUGUUGUAACACUGAUUUUACCAUGAGAAGAGGCCAUAUAUAUAUAUAUAUAUAUAUAUACUUGUAUAUUUUUAUUAUAAUAUAAUAUUCCCUCUCCAAAAACUCAAAACUAGCUAGAGAGAGAGAGAGAGUUGAUCAGUUUUUGUGUAGUGAUGAAGAAGGCUAGCUCUAAAUGGAAAAAGU
This 2747-nucleotide long non-coding RNA is filed under the name Panax ginseng (ginseng). RNAcentral's name for it is "long non-coding RNA (PGIN_LNC015593)". The record is from RNAcentral. Lineage: Eukaryota; Viridiplantae; Streptophyta; Magnoliopsida; Apiales; Araliaceae.